Non-coding RNA from Oryza meridionalis, 206 nucleotides. NCBI's taxonomy places the organism in Eukaryota, Viridiplantae, Streptophyta, Magnoliopsida, Poales, Poaceae. The record is from Rfam.
AAUAAGUGCAGUUUUACACUGGUUACGUCCAACGUUUGACCGUUCAUCUUAUUCGAAAUUUUUCUAUGAUUAGUAUUUUAUUGUUAGUAGAUGAUAAAACAUGAAUAAUACUUUAUGUGUGACUAUUUUUUUUAAUAUUUUCAUAAAUUUUUUAAAUAAAACGGACGGUCAAACGUUAGACACGGAUUCCCAUAGCUGCACUUAUU